UCAGAUGGCCGGAAGAUCGCUGCUAUGCUUUUAUGAGUAUGGGAGAGGAAAGUCCGGGCACCACGGAAGAACGGUGCUGGUUAAUGGCCAGCGAAGGUGACUUCAGGGAAAGUGCCACAGAAAGCAAACCGCCAUUUGUUUGGUAAGGGUGAAAGGGUGCGGUAAGAGCGCACCGCUUUUCUGGUGACAGAAAAGGCAUGGUAAACCCCACCGGGUGCAAAAUCGAAUAGGAACGACAGGCAGUUUGCCACUUUCUUUCGAAGUGUCGUUCGGGUUGAUUGCAUGAGAUAAUUGGCAACAAUUAUCCUAGAUGAAUGAUCUUACAUUCUAUGCUUCUUAGGAAGUAUGGAAGGACAGAACCCGGCUUAUAGGCCAUCUGACAUA
Molecule: RNase P RNA, 384 nt
Filed under: Alphaproteobacteria bacterium
Lineage: Bacteria; Pseudomonadati; Pseudomonadota; Alphaproteobacteria
Also listed under: 1 other name
Description: RNase P RNA component class A
Rfam family: Bacterial RNase P class A
About the family: Ribonuclease P (RNase P) is a ubiquitous endoribonuclease, found in archaea, bacteria and eukarya as well as chloroplasts and mitochondria. Its best characterised activity is the generation of mature 5'-ends of tRNAs by cleaving the 5'-leader elements of precursor-tRNAs.
Source: RNAcentral